UGGGGAAUAUUGCACAAUGGGGGAAACCCUGAUGCAGCGACGCCGCGUGAAGGAAGAAGUAUCUCGGUAUGUAAACUUCUAUCAGCAGGGAAGAAAGUGACGGUACCUGACUAAGAAGCCCCGGCUAAUUACGUGCCAGCAGCCGCGGUAAUACGUAAGGGGCAAGCGUUAUCCGGAUUUACUGGGUGUAAAGGGAGCGUAGACGGAGAGGCAAGUCUGAUGUGAAAGGCAUGGGCUCAACCUGUGGACUGCAUUGGAAACUGUUUUUCUAGAGUGCCGGAGAGGCAGGCGGAAUUCCUAGUGUAGCGGUGAAAUGCGUAGAUAUUAGGAGGAACACCAGUGGCGAAGGCGGCCUGCUGGACGGUAACUGACGUUGAGGCUCGAAAGCGUGGGGAGCAAACAGGAUUAGAUACC
Molecule: ribosomal RNA, 414 nt
Filed under: uncultured bacterium
Lineage: Bacteria
Description: bacterial SSU rRNA
Rfam family: Bacterial small subunit ribosomal RNA
Source: RNAcentral